AGAUUGAACGCUGGCGGCAUGCCUAACACAUGCAAGUCGAACGGGAGUAGCAAUACUCUAGUGGCGGACGGGUGAGGAAUACGUAGGAAUUUGCCCUUAAGUGGGGGAUAACCCGGGGAAACCCGGAUUAAUACCGCAUGACCUCGAAAGAGCAAAGUGGGGGAUCGCAAGACCUCACGCUUUUGGAGAAGCCUACGUCGGAUUAGCUAGUUGGUAGGUAAGUAGGCGUACCAAGG
RNAcentral lists this ribosomal RNA (236 nucleotides) under uncultured soil bacterium. RNAcentral describes it as "partial 16S ribosomal RNA". It matches the Rfam family "Bacterial small subunit ribosomal RNA", at positions 26 to 273 of the family's 1533-position model. The record is from RNAcentral.